UACAGUGGGGGCAAGCGUUGUUCGGAAUUACUGGGCGUAAAGGGCGCGUAGGCGGCCUUCUAAGUCGAACGUGAAAUCCCCGGGCUCAACCCGGGAACUGCGUCCGAUACUGGAAGGCUUGAAUCCGGGAGAGGGAUGCGGAAUUCCAGGUGUAGCGGUGAAAUGCGUAGAUAUCUGGAGGAACACCGGUGGCGAAGGCGGCAUCCUGGACCGGCAUUGACGCUGAGGCGCGAAAGCCAGGGGAGCAAACGGG
RNAcentral lists this ribosomal RNA (253 nucleotides) under uncultured bacterium. Its description in RNAcentral is "partial 16S ribosomal RNA". It matches the Rfam family "Bacterial small subunit ribosomal RNA", at positions 524 to 776 of the family's 1533-position model. The record is from RNAcentral.